Non-coding RNA from Schistosoma rodhaini, 45 nucleotides. NCBI's taxonomy places the organism in Eukaryota, Metazoa, Platyhelminthes, Trematoda, Strigeidida, Schistosomatidae. The record is from Rfam.
AUCCAGCUGACGAGUCCCAAAGAAGACGAAACGCGCGUCCUGGAU